Long non-coding RNA from Podarcis muralis (Common wall lizard), 437 nucleotides. RefSeq lists it as uncharacterized. The record is from RefSeq and is a predicted model, not a curated record. Lineage: Eukaryota; Metazoa; Chordata; Lepidosauria; Squamata; Lacertidae.
CAGGAUCUGUUGCACUAAUGGCUUGGCCCCUGGUGGGGGCAGACUGAGCCUUAGGGGCCAAUCAAAAGAUCACAGCGAUUGAGGUGCAGCAUAAGGAAUCAGGCUCUUCAUCAGGGCCAGCCCAAGAAGUUCUGCUUCCAUUGACGAAGGCCAAGAUGACACCCUCUCGACUCCGUGUUUCAGAGCCAACUCGACUGUAACCCAUCAAGUCCAGCAUCCUUCUCAACGGCAACAGCUCUCUUCCCUCCAGGGUUUCCAGCACUGCCUCUGACAGCAAGGUUUAGUAGCUAGAGAUAGUCUUAUCCUUCAUGAAUUUGCCACUUUGAAACCCUCUUUUUGUGGGGAUGAUUAGGGAGGCAGGAGAGGAUAUACAGUGGUACCUCAGAUUAAGUACUUAAUUCGUUCCGGAGGUCCGUUCUUAACCUGAAACUGUUCUU